RNAcentral lists this long non-coding RNA (229 nucleotides) under Elaeis guineensis (African oil palm). RNAcentral describes it as "long non-coding RNA (EGUI_LNC042777)". Lineage: Eukaryota; Viridiplantae; Streptophyta; Magnoliopsida; Arecales; Arecaceae. The record is from RNAcentral.
CUCUGAAACUAAUAUUGAAAGUCAAGGCUCUGCCUCUUCUUUCCAUAAGAGGACUAGUGCCGUAUGGAAUGACUUUGAAAGAGUUAUGAUAGAUGAAAUUUUAAAAGUAAAAUAUAAAAAAUAUAUCAAAUUAUAUAAUUUUGCUAGUAGUGGGGGAACUGACCAUUUAAAGAGACAUCAAAAGAGCCAUGUUAUGAGUGAUGCUCGUCUUCAAAGUAUCCUUAAUAUA